RNAcentral lists this ribosomal RNA (279 nucleotides) under uncultured bacterium. RNAcentral's name for it is "partial 16S ribosomal RNA". It matches the Rfam family "Bacterial small subunit ribosomal RNA", at positions 506 to 784 of the family's 1533-position model. The record is from RNAcentral.
UGCCAGCCGCCGCGGUAAUACGGAGGGGGCAAGCGUUAUUCGGAUUUAUUGGGCGUAAAGGGCGCGUAGGCGGCUAAGUAAGUUGAAGGUGAAAUCCCACGGCUCAACCGUGGAACUGCCUUCGAUACUGCUUGGCUAGAGUUCGGGAGGGGGUAGUGGAAUUCCUAGUGUAGCGGUGAAAUGCGUAGAUAUUAGGAGGAACACCAGUGGCGAAGGCGACUACCUGGACCGAUACUGACGCUGAAGCGCGAAAGCAUGGGGAGCAAACAGGAUUAGAUA